Molecule: long non-coding RNA, 1114 nt
Filed under: Strigops habroptila (Kakapo)
Lineage: Eukaryota; Metazoa; Chordata; Aves; Psittaciformes; Psittacidae
Description: lncRNA (ENSSHBG00005019206.1)
Source: RNAcentral
ACUUCUGAACUCUCAGAAUUGGAUCCUUCCUGCCUGUUGACUUAUCACUCCACCUUUCACCAGCUCAGUAUUUUAAUAAAAAGCUUUUCUUAAAACUCCUAAGGCAAAACUUGAAACUACACAUAACUCAGUCAAGUCUGGAGAGCAAUUUAGUAGCCCACAUGCAUAUUAAAAUGCUAUGCUUCUGCAUCACAGUGGCCUUAAAUAUGUUUUAAUUGGCUUAAGCUUUGCAAUUACAUCUCUAGAAUCUGCCAGUAUGCUCAAGGAAAGAGCAGCAGAGAACAGAUGAAUUUUAUAAUCCCCAAAUGUAUAAAUAACAUGCGGAAAGUCAGAUUUCUCAUCUUUUUCUGUCCGUGGUUUGUAGAAGAAUCUCUCCCUGUUCAAGAACUAAUCUGAGUUUUACAGACCUACAGAGAGCACCCACUCAGCGCUUGUCCAUCCCCCUACCCACCUCAGGUCAACAUGGGCCUCACUCCAACAGUUUAGCUAUGCGUUGGACCCAGAGCAGGAGGCAACAAGAAGAUGCAACCAGACUGUAACAGAGAAGAAUUAGCAAAGCCAUAUUUAACAUCCCUCACACUAUCAGAGUCCUGCCUGGGGACCCAUCCUUCUUGGGCAAUCAUUUUUCAUGCUACUCCAACACAAAGAGUGAUUUCUUUGCUGAAAACUUCAUCACAGAAACAUAGAUUCAAACAGCAUUCCAUCCUGAAGUGAACUGAAAGCCGUAUUUCUUUAAAAAUGAAAUAGAAUAACAACCUUUCCAUUGCUACAGCCUCUGUAGAACCAGUUUAUAAUUUGAAAGCAACGCUGUUAGUUAAACCACCCAACACUCAGACCAUGCAGAAACGACAGCCCGUGCUUUAAGAAGUAUUGACUGCAGCAGGACUCUUGCUCUGAAAACUUGCCAUCUCCUUUAAUUUGCGAUUUUAGGACCACUUAAAAUAAUUUUUCUCACAUAAAACAGCCUCUGCCCUUGCUGCUUAUUGAAGUCAAGCACUAGGUAGUGGUUACAGGGAAGAGACAACAGUUCAAACCAUUAUUACACCCUCCACUUGCAAACGAGGACUUUAUUGUUUGUUAAUCUCAAAACAUAUAAUUUUAUGUCAGCUUUAGA